GGGCAAUGGCUGUGUACUGCCACCACACUGAUUGCCAGGGCUGAUGUGUCUGAUCUGGCUGGCUAGACAAGUGUCCCCUUCUUCCC
This is an unclassified non-coding RNA of Mesocricetus auratus (golden hamster), 86 nucleotides long. Its record names the gene 7SK. It matches the Rfam family "7SK RNA". From Rfam's summary of the family: 7SK was discovered as an abundant small nuclear RNA in the mid-70s but a possible function has only recently been suggested. Two independent studies have found that 7SK RNA binds the CDK9/cyclin T complex (known as elongation factor P-TEFb). Lineage: Eukaryota; Metazoa; Chordata; Mammalia; Rodentia; Cricetidae. The record is from Ensembl.